GCUAGUUGUAUUAUUAGUUAAUGCAAGAUCGACUACGUCGACUAAAGUUCUAGGUAGAAUAAUGAUGAUGACAAUUUUUUACCUAUAUGUCUUGACCAAGUCUCGUGCCAGCAGUCGCGGUAAUACGUGGAAGACUAGUGUUAUUCAUCUUUAUUAGGUUUAAAGGGUACCUAGACGGUAUUUCUAGCCCAAAAUAGGGUACGGAUUUACUAGAGUUUUAUGUGAGGAGGGGAGUACUCGUGGAGUAGAGAUGAAAUUUUGUUAUACUAUGAGGUAACUGGUGGCGGCGAAAGCAACCUUCUAUGUAUAAACUGACGUUGAGGGACGAAGGCUUGGGUAGCAAAUAGGAUUAGAUACCCUAGUAGUCCAAGCAGACAAUUCUGAAUGCCAUAGAUUAGAUUUUUUUUGAUCUAUAAAUGAAAGUGUAAGCAUUCCACCUUAGGAGUAAUGUGGCAACACAGGAACUGAAAUCAUUAGACCGUUUCUGAAACCAGUAGUGAAGUAUGUUAUUUAAUUUGAUGGUCCACAAAAAACCUUACCACAACUUGAAUAUUUUUUAAUUAAUACAAGCGUUGCACGGCUGUCUUCAGUUAAUGUCGUGAGAUUUUGGUUAACUCCAUUAAUUAACGUAAACCCUUACUUUAUUUA
RNAcentral lists this ribosomal RNA (648 nucleotides) under Acarospora strigata. RNAcentral's name for it is "SSU rRNA". It matches the Rfam family "Bacterial small subunit ribosomal RNA", at positions 385 to 1117 of the family's 1533-position model. Lineage: Eukaryota; Fungi; Ascomycota; Lecanoromycetes; Acarosporales; Acarosporaceae. The record is from RNAcentral.